GACAGAGGGUGCGAACGUUGCUCGGAAUGACUGGGCGUAAAGCGCGUGUAGGUGGUCUCGCAAGUCGGGUGUGAAAGCCCAGGGCUCAACCCUGGAAGUGCAUUCGAUACUACGAGGCUGGAGUCCUGUAGAGGAGAGCGGAAUUCUCGGUGUAGAGGUGAAAUUCGUAGAUAUCGAGAGGAACACCAGUGGCGAAGGCGGCUCUCUGGACAGGGACUGACACUGAGACGCGAAAGCGUGGGGAGCAAACAGG
This 253-nucleotide ribosomal RNA is filed under the name uncultured bacterium. Its description in RNAcentral is "partial 16S ribosomal RNA". It matches the Rfam family "Bacterial small subunit ribosomal RNA", at positions 524 to 776 of the family's 1533-position model. The record is from RNAcentral.